This 587-nucleotide unclassified non-coding RNA is filed under the name Hevea brasiliensis (rubber tree). Lineage: Eukaryota; Viridiplantae; Streptophyta; Magnoliopsida; Malpighiales; Euphorbiaceae. The record is from RNAcentral.
AUAUCAAAAAUAAAAAUGAAUUGCUUGUUAAAAAUAUAUAUAUGUUUUUUUUCUUGUUCUUUGCAAUACUUGUCUGUUCCGAAGGGUAUUCUUGGCUCGCCAACAUAUCUCGUCUGUUCUCUGACUAAAAUAAAUCACUUUCUACUCUCAGAGUUUUACAUGACGAAUAUCACUUAAAAUUUGUAGCAAAACACAUAAAAUUUGGCCUUUUAGCAUAUUUGCUUCAAAAGGCACCCUAACAGCAAAGUUGUCUAUGCUUGAAUGCUAAAUUGAGAGGCAAAUCUGAUUUAUAAGAUGCCAACUUCGCUAUGAGAACUGUGAAUUUGCAUUAUAACUUUGCGUUGCAGAGAACCAUAGGUAUCCAUAAUACCUUUUUGUCUGAAGCCAUGAGUAUACUACAUGGACUCGACAUUUCCCUGAGACUGGGCACGCGACCUGGUAAUCCCUUCUUUCCAUCCUCUCUGACGAGCUCUUGACUCCCACAUUGCUGUCAGUUUCUUUUGCACUGCUAAUGCAGCUUCAGCUUUCUCCCUAGCUUCUUCACAGGUUUCCAUCCCUGAAUUGCAUUUGUCUGCUUCCUUUUGAUA